Molecule: long non-coding RNA, 31397 nt
Filed under: Brassica napus (rape)
Lineage: Eukaryota; Viridiplantae; Streptophyta; Magnoliopsida; Brassicales; Brassicaceae
Description: long non-coding RNA (BNAP_LNC002181)
Rfam family: U4 spliceosomal RNA (bases 16474-16624)
Source: RNAcentral
GUUCAUAAGACAAAGAGCAGCUAUAGAGACACCAUCUUCGUUCUUGGUCAAGUACUUGCAAACCGGACCAAGCCCGUAAAUCCUCUCGACGCUGUCUCCGCCGGGAAUGGUUCGGUUGGAGCAGGUGAGGAUGGAGUAAGACGUGAGAAGACGGAGGAUUCGGUCGAGCAUGACCGGAGCUUCGGGGUUUUUGGUCUGAAGUUUAGAAGCAAUCUCAGAUGGAGACAUCGGAGAAGAGUUCUUGGCCAUGAUCUCGAGAAGAUCAAGGUCUAAGGCGGACUUUAAAACCAUGGGAAGAACGGAGGCGCUGGCUAGCUGCAUGGCAAAGAGAGCGGCUUCGUCGUCGGUGACUUGUACCGGAGUUAUCUGUGUCUCCGCCGUUGAUCCCAUUUUUCUUGGAUUCUCUAAGAUAUUCUUGGGAUGUUUCUUUUUCUUUUGUUUCUUUGUUUUGAGAGGAGUGUGUGAUGGGUGAGAAGUAGGACGUUAAGAGGUUUAUUUAUAUGAAAAUAUAUUAUAAGAAGGUAGACAAGUGGCAUUUUUUUUUAACUCAAGUUUCUGAUCUAGCUUAAUUACAUGGUCCAAUUGAAUGAAAACAAUUCAGAACUUUUUUGUAUUUUAUAAGAGAGCCCGCUAUUUGUGAAGUAUUUCAUUUACGAUCCCUUCUACAGAAACAACUACACUUUAUUAUGUGCAUAUAUUUCAUCCAUACCCUUUAAACAUUGGAAAUGGUGAUUCAUUAUGCUGGCCCAUACCGACUUUAACGUAUUUUGUUAUAUUGAAUAUGUUAAACUUUCUAUAAAUUUCGGUAGCAGUAACUAGUCUUCCAUUUUUAGCGAGGACUUUAGCGAGUACUUGACAAUUCUAUGUACUGCUAACUUUUGUUUUUAACAAAGCAGAUUAUAUCUAAAAUUAAUCAUAACUUUUUUAAAGUUUGCAUCACUCUUACAUUUAUUAUUCUUACUAAAAAAACUGCGUCAAAUUUUUUCUUAAGUGUUAAUAAGUCAUAUAUAACCUAUAAGCUCACCAUCAAUUUUUUUUCUAUAGCAUAUCAGAUUUUGUCUACUAAAAACUUAAAAAGAAAUUUGUCAUCAAAGUUUUCUAACAAAAAAAAAAGAAUAUAUCCUAAGUUUGAUUUAAAACCGAUGAUAAAUUCAUAAUUGGUUUUAGAUUUUCAAUGUUUAACUGUUUAGCUUAAUUAAUAACAGUUAUACAAAAUAGAUUUAUAAAUAAAACAAAAAACUGUUAAACUAUAAAAAUCAAGAUACAAAAAAUGAAUGAGUAGAUGCGUUAAGGGGAAAAUGAAAAUAUGUUAACUACUAAUUAAGAAUGUGUGGAUUUUAUGUAUCAUGAAAACUAUAGAAAAUAAAUUUAUUAAUGAUCUUAACCAGAAACUAAUACACUAAAAACUAUUAAUUGAAAACUAUCUUAGAAUUAUAAACCGUUCAGAAAGAAAAAAAGGACCACUUUAAAAUUAGAUACAUCAAUAAAUAAAUAAGAAAAUCGCAUAAAAAAACUUUGAAAAUGUUAGUUACUAACACUUUAAACUUUGAAAUUUUUUCAUUAAUACUUUUAACUUUCAAAAUGACAUUUAUAUCACAAAAACUUCCAAAGUAAAAAAUUGACCUCUUGAACAAGUAAAAAAAUGAUGUCAGUUUUUUUUAAAAUAAUUAUUUAAUUAAUAAGACUAACAAAAAACUAAAUAAAAACCAGAAAAUUAAAUAAAAAUAGAAAAGUAAUAAACCUUAUAAAAUAAAUAAAAAUUCAGAAAAUAAAUUAAAUAUUAGAAAAUUAAAAAAAAAAAAAUCAUAAAUUUUAAAAUAAAUUUGAAAAUUCAAAAGUUUGAAUAAAAAAGUUUGUUUCCAUUUUCAACAGUGAUGUCGAAAAUAAUUAUUGGAGAUAUGCAAAAAAUAGUCAUUGUUAAUGGUUAUAUGAGAAACUAUCAAUGUCACUAGUGAUAUAUUUGGAAAUUUUAUUUUCACGAUGAUAUGGUAUAUUUUUUUAAAAAAAAUCUUAUAAUUAAAAAACUAUUUUAAUUUUUGAAUUUUCUAAAUUUUAUAAUUUUUUUGAAAUUUAUGAAUUUUUAUUUAGUUAUUCUGUAUUUUAAUUUUAUUUUAUUUAUUAUGGAAUUUUUAGUUAUUUUAUUUUUCUUUAAUUUUAAAUAUUUAUUUAGUUUUCCGAAAUUUUAUUUAUUUUUUUUAGUUUUCGGAAUUUUAUUAAAUUGUUCGAUUUUUAAUUUUUUGAAUUUUUAUUUAAUUUUUUUGUUUAUUUUAUUUAUUAAAUCAUUAUUUUGAAAAAAAAACUUACACAUCAUUUUUUACAUGUUCAACAGGUCAAUUUUUUACUUUAGAGAUUUUUAUGAUAUAAAUGUCAUUUUGAAAAUUAAAAGCAAAGUUUUUAAAUCUGACCCGGACACUGAACCAGACGACUUACCGGAUUGUUGGGUUACUAGGUCGACCACGGGUGAACCGCGGAUUAAUAAAUAAAUAAAAUUUAUUAUAUAAUAAUAUAUUAGGUAUGUAAAUAUAAAUAUAGAAACUAAAUUUUAAUAUUUUCUAAAAAAAAAUUAAAACAUAAAAUAAUAGUUUGGAUAUGUAUAUAUUUUAUGUUUAAAAACUUUUAGAAAAUACUUAAAUUUUCUUUUAUAUUUUUAUUUUCAUUUGACAUACAAAAUAUCAAAAAGUAGUUUAGACUAUUUAAAAAUUUCUCCAACAAAGUAAGAUUUACGACAUUUAAAAAAAUCAAGACAUAAAAUUUAUAAAUAUUUAAAUAUCUAAUUGAAUAAUAAAUUAAACUUCAAAUACAAAAUAAACCAAAAGUAAAAGAUCAUUGUAAUAAAAUGUCAAUACCGCUUCUGUGUCUGUUAUAGAGAUAUAUUUAUGGUUUUUUGGUAUAAAAUCGAAUAAACCGAAAACCGACGGUAUAUAAACCGAACCGAACCGAAGUAAAUAUGGAUUUAGAAUGGUAGUUAUAUUUUACUAACCAAAAUACCGAAAACCGAAAAAAACCGAACCUAAACCGAACCGAUAUCCGGAUUGAACACCCCUAUAAUAUAUAAGGGAUUAUUAAACAUCAUAGUUUUAAAACAAAGACGGUGAAGUAGACGUACAUAAGAGCAUUGUUUACAUAUAAAAUCAUUAUUACAUGGAUUGUGCGUGUGUGUUUUACAUCUUUUUGAGCAGCUCAAUAACGUAAACACCAAAAGCAUUGCAGGCAACAUUGAUGCCUUUGAAGCCUGAUCCUUUAGCUAAUGCCUCGAACUCUUUCUCGGUCCGUUCUUUGCCUCCAGGGUUAUGAGCCAACAUAAUGCAAUCAACAUGGACUACUUGUUUGGUCGAGAGGCUUGAGUCUGGUGUCUCUGGAAGUAUACACUCUGCUAGUAUCACUUUUCCAUCCUCUGGAAGCGCCUCGUAGCAGUUCUUCAAGAAUUUCACGCAGUGUUCAUCGCUCCAGUCGUGGCAUAUCCACUGUUACAACAAUGAAACAAAUCAAAACGUUUUGAGAUUUAAUUUCCUUGAUUAAUUACUUAUAAAUGUCAAAAGAGUUUUCGGUAUAGGAGCUUUGGUUAUUACUAACCUUCAUGAAAAUAGCAUCACCUUUAGGGACGCUUACAAACAUAUCUCCUCCAACAUGAUCAAUACCUGUAUUAAAUUUAACAAUUAAUCAAAUCUCUUAAUCAUAUGUAAAUGAAAUCAUAUAUAGUAUUGUGAAAUGUUAGGAAAAUGUAAUAUACCGGGAUGAGAAGUAGCUUCUUCAAUGACAUGUGGGAGAUCAAAGUUGAUGCCUUUAAGGUCAGGGUACUUAGAGACGAUCAUUUUGAGAGUAGCACCAAUGCCACCACCAACGUCAACCAAAGAAGUCAAACCCUCAAAACCCUUGUAGGUCUCGAGAAUCUUCUUCAUUGUGAUGGUUGAAUGGUUAGACAUUCCAUUGUUGAAGACCGUGUUGAACCUUAGAUCCUUCCCGUGGUACUCAAAAGCGCUCAUUCCAUAAGCCUUGUUGAAUGGAAUCCCACCAUCAAGAACUGCAUCUUUCAAAUGGUACCUGAAACAAGUAUCGUUGGUAUGAGUUUAAGAAAACACACACAUUCACACAAAGCUUAAUCUAACCGUUUUUAUUUAUCACUAGUUAGGAUAUUUUUUUUAUAAAUUGAUCUCCAGAUAAUCUAUUGAUCAGACUUGAUCCACCUGAGGUUGAUUAUAAUUGGUUAUCAUGAUAGAGCUGCCGGUAUGCAAAGAGAACCAGCCGGUUUGAAAUUAUGUUUCUAUAUUCCUUUGCUAGCUGCUAAAUAAUCGGAAGACCGGUUCUCUUCUUAUUAUAGUUUCCUUAAAUGAUCCUCAAUAAAGGGAAGAACAAUUACAUCUUCUCUAUUUAGAACCAUGAAACACGUUGACAAGAAAAUGAAACACAAAAUAAAAUAAUAAUAAUAGAGUGUUUUCUGCAAAAAAAAAACCUCUACAUUGAAUACAACAAAAAUAUUUAAAGCUAUGAAACAACUAGAGUACAGAGUGUGUUUUUUAAUUUUCCUCUUAUUAUUUUGUAUAGUACUAGCAAACAAAAAUUUCAACGAUAGAGCUCGCUUAACCACUAAAAAUGUUAUAUAGUUUUUUAGUGGAAGCAGAUAUAGAAAACGUGUCAACGCAUCAUUUUGUCUGAUUGUCUAUGACACUUUGUGGCCGAGUCUCUCUCAUCUUUACCUUUGCACAAUUCAAUUUUAAUCAUCACAUGAUUCACAUCAACCAAGAACCAUAGCUUAUGAAACAAAAUUAUCAAAGAAGAAGCUUUUUUUUUCUAACUUGAUAUAGCCACAAGAUCUAUCCAAUGAAGAUGUCUUGGUAAUAUCUUAAAAAACUUACCAGCUUUCCAUGAGAACCUUGUCUUGGUUCAUAAGACAAAGAGCAGCUAUAGAGACACCAUCUUCGUUCUUGGUCAAGUACUUGCAAACCGGACCAAGCCCGUAAAUCCUCUCGACGCUGUCUCCGCCGGGAAUGGUUCGGUUGGAGCAGGUGAGGAUGGAGUAAGACGUGAGAAGACGGAGGAUUCGGUCGAGCAUGACCGGAGCUUCGGGGUUUUUGGUCUGAAGUUUAGAAGCAAUCUCAGAUGGAGACAUCGGAGAAGAGUUCUUGGCCAUGAUCUCGAGAAGAUCAAGGUCUAAGGCGGACUUUAAAACCAUGGGAAGAACGGAGGCGCUGGCUAGCUGCAUGGCAAAGAGAGCGGCUUCGUCGUCGGUGACUUGUACCGGAGUUAUCUGUGUCUCCGCCGUUGAUCCCAUUUUUCUUGGAUUCUCUAAGAUAUUCUUGGGAUGUUUCUUUUUCUUUUGUUUCUUUGUUUUGAGAGGAGUGUGUGAUGGGUGAGAAGUAGGACGUUAAGAGGUUUAUUUAUAUGAAAAUAUAUUAUAAGAAGGUAGACAAGUGGCAUUUUUUUUUAACUCAAGUUUCUGAUCUAGCUUAAUUACAUGGUCCAAUUGAAUGAAAACAAUUCAGAACUUUUUUGUAUUUUAUAAGAGAGCCCGCUAUUUGUGAAGUAUUUCAUUUACGAUCCCUUCUACAGAAACAACUACACUUUAUUAUGUGCAUAUAUUUCAUCCAUACCCUUUAAACAUUGGAAAUGGUGAUUCAUUAUGCUGGCCCAUACCGACUUUAACGUAUUUUGUUAUAUUGAAUAUGUUAAACUUUCUAUAAAUUUCGGUAGCAGUAACUAGUCUUCCAUUUUUAGCGAGGACUUUAGCGAGUACUUGACAAUUCUAUGUACUGCUAACUUUUGUUUUUAACAAAGCAGAUUAUAUCUAAAAUUAAUCAUAACUUUUUUAAAGUUUGCAUCACUCUUACAUUUAUUAUUCUUACUAAAAAAACUGCGUCAAAUUUUUUCUUAAGUGUUAAUAAGUCAUAUAUAACCUAUAAGCUCACCAUCAAUUUUUUUUCUAUAGCAUAUCAGAUUUUGUCUACUAAAAACUUAAAAAGAAAUUUGUCAUCAAAGUUUUCUAACAAAAAAAAAAGAAUAUAUCCUAAGUUUGAUUUAAAACCGAUGAUAAAUUCAUAAUUGGUUUUAGAUUUUCAAUGUUUAACUGUUUAGCUUAAUUAAUAACAGUUAUACAAAAUAGAUUUAUAAAUAAAACAAAAAACUGUUAAACUAUAAAAAUCAAGAUACAAAAAAUGAAUGAGUAGAUGCGUUAAGGGGAAAAUGAAAAUAUGUUAACUACUAAUUAAGAAUGUGUGGAUUUUAUGUAUCAUGAAAACUAUAGAAAAUAAAUUUAUUAAUGAUCUUAACCAGAAACUAAUACACUAAAAACUAUUAAUUGAAAACUAUCUUAGAAUUAUAAACCGUUCAGAAAGAAAAAAAGGACCACUUUAAAAUUAGAUACAUCAAUAAAUAAAUAAGAAAAUCGCAUAAAAAAACUUUGAAAAUGUUAGUUACUAACACUUUAAACUUUGAAAUUUUUUCAUUAAUACUUUUAACUUUCAAAAUGACAUUUAUAUCACAAAAACUUCCAAAGUAAAAAAUUGACCUCUUGAACAAGUAAAAAAAUGAUGUCAGUUUUUUUUAAAAUAAUUAUUUAAUUAAUAAGACUAACAAAAAACUAAAUAAAAACCAGAAAAUUAAAUAAAAAUAGAAAAGUAAUAAACCUUAUAAAAUAAAUAAAAAUUCAGAAAAUAAAUUAAAUAUUAGAAAAUUAAAAAAAAAAAAAUCAUAAAUUUUAAAAUAAAUUUGAAAAUUCAAAAGUUUGAAUAAAAAAGUUUGUUUCCAUUUUCAACAGUGAUGUCGAAAAUAAUUAUUGGAGAUAUGCAAAAAAUAGUCAUUGUUAAUGGUUAUAUGAGAAACUAUCAAUGUCACUAGUGAUAUAUUUGGAAAUUUUAUUUUCACGAUGAUAUGGUAUAUUUUUUUAAAAAAAAUCUUAUAAUUAAAAAACUAUUUUAAUUUUUGAAUUUUCUAAAUUUUAUAAUUUUUUUGAAAUUUAUGAAUUUUUAUUUAGUUAUUCUGUAUUUUAAUUUUAUUUUAUUUAUUAUGGAAUUUUUAGUUAUUUUAUUUUUCUUUAAUUUUAAAUAUUUAUUUAGUUUUCCGAAAUUUUAUUUAUUUUUUUUAGUUUUCGGAAUUUUAUUAAAUUGUUCGAUUUUUAAUUUUUUGAAUUUUUAUUUAAUUUUUUUGUUUAUUUUAUUUAUUAAAUCAUUAUUUUGAAAAAAAAACUUACACAUCAUUUUUUACAUGUUCAACAGGUCAAUUUUUUACUUUAGAGAUUUUUAUGAUAUAAAUGUCAUUUUGAAAAUUAAAAGCAAAGUUUUUAAAUCUGACCCGGACACUGAACCAGACGACUUACCGGAUUGUUGGGUUACUAGGUCGACCACGGGUGAACCGCGGAUUAAUAAAUAAAUAAAAUUUAUUAUAUAAUAAUAUAUUAGGUAUGUAAAUAUAAAUAUAGAAACUAAAUUUUAAUAUUUUCUAAAAAAAAAUUAAAACAUAAAAUAAUAGUUUGGAUAUGUAUAUAUUUUAUGUUUAAAAACUUUUAGAAAAUACUUAAAUUUUCUUUUAUAUUUUUAUUUUCAUUUGACAUACAAAAUAUCAAAAAGUAGUUUAGACUAUUUAAAAAUUUCUCCAACAAAGUAAGAUUUACGACAUUUAAAAAAAUCAAGACAUAAAAUUUAUAAAUAUUUAAAUAUCUAAUUGAAUAAUAAAUUAAACUUCAAAUACAAAAUAAACCAAAAGUAAAAGAUCAUUGUAAUAAAAUGUCAAUACCGAAAAUAAGCUAACACCAAAUCACAUCAACUAAUUUUGGUUCUCUCUACCAUCGUUCACUUCAUUUUCUUCAGGUGGCAUAGUGAAAUUGAAAUCUUCAUCAAAAUCUAAAAAUCACAAAUUUAAAACUGAAAAAGGAAAACCUAACUUUUUUUUUGUGAGCACCUAACUUCUUAAUUGUAAACUUAAAAUAUAAAACAUAUUCUAAAAACUUAAUUUAAAACUUAAAAAAAUGAAGUCAAAUUUUUUAUUAGUUCGACCGGUGGUUCAACCGGUAUCGGGUUCUGAGUUUUACUGGGUUUUUGCAGGUUUUUAUAAAACCCAAACCGGAUUUUUUGGGUCACCGAGUUUACCGGUUCAACCGCAGAUCGGGAUUAGGUUUUAAAACACUGGUUAAAAAUAUUACUGAAAAAACUUUAAAGUUUAAAAUGUGAGUAAAUUACAUUUUUAACGUUUUUUAUGCGAUUUUCUCAUAAAUAAACUCAUAAAAGGAAAAAUGAACGAGGCUCGACACUUGAGAAGACUAUACAAAUGUAAGUGGGACAGAUGGUAUGGUGGGUAGAGCCGACACGCCAUUUCUAAUUAAUUGCAACCCACUUUUGCUUAAUAUCGUAUCAUUUUAUUCAACGCUAAAUCAUUUCAUCGACAUUUUGCUUUCAUAGAAUGUUUAGAAACAAUGGAUUGGAAAGUUUAACCUAAUACAUUGAAUUAAUUUACAUUAAUAAAUAUAUAAUUAUUUAUGAAAAAGUUCGGUACAAGAUUCUUCUUCUCAGUUGUGAACUACGUAGUAUUUUAGCUAGGGAUGGUCACAAACAUUUGUCUCGUCAUAUUUUGUUGUUUUCAACCAAUUUCGAUCCAAAAUUCUUGUUUCAUAUAAAAAUUCAUUUUCAAAAUAUAGCAAGAUGAUAUGUAUUACAUAUUUAUUUGAGAAAAAAACUUUGAGAAUAUCAUCUUGCUAUAUUUUGAACUGGGUAAGUAUUUUUAUAACAAAAAUAUCAAAGAUAAUUCAUUCUAAAUAUCGGUUACAAUUAAAAAUGCCGUUGCAAGUAAUAAUUUGUUUGUUGCAAAAAAAGUAAUAAUUUGUUAAUUAUUUAAGUUGUAGCUGGUUGUAUAUGUCCUCAAUUUUUUUUGACCGAAUUGUUUUUUUUAUAUUCAUUCACACCAACCACACCAACCAUUCUCACCUACUCCUUUGAAUUGAAAUGGAUAUAGGACCACCAGUCUCUGACGUACAUGUAUUAUGUUCGCUUAUUAUUAGAUAUGUUUUCUCAAAUUGGUAAUUUCAUUCAUUUAAUUAGAAAAUCGUGUUAUAUAUAAACGGGUUAAAUAGUAGAAUUUUUUUUAAUUAAACAUUUAAAUAUGAUAUAUGUCUAUUGAAAUUGAUAGUGUUUUUCUAAUCAGUUGUUAGCUUUGUUUUCCAAAGAACACUUUGUUUUAUAUUAAAAAGGUCAAAAGUAUAGCAUAUUUUUAUAUAAAACCCAUCGUACUAUUAAAAUCCUCCAAAGGAUAUGAACAGCUUCACACUGAGAUAAUUUAGGUUAAAUCUGUGUGAGAAACCAGUUCUAAAUUAUGAUUGGAUCAUAAAUAAUGUUUGAUAUCGGUUUAAUGAAAUUAAUAUACUUUUUAUUAUUAUUUUAAUUAAUUAAUGUGAAAUUAUAAAUUUGUAUCAAUUAUCUCAAUUUUUUAGAAAUUAUAAAUUUGUAUCAAUUAUCUCAAUUCAGAAAUUAUAAAACAUUUAGUCAAAAUGAGUCUAUAAUAGCAAUUUGGAAAGAAACAAAAAUCAGAUAUCUUAAUUUUAAAGUUCUAUUUAAAAUAAAAAGAAGAAUCCAAAGUCCUACCUACUACCGUGUUAGUGAUACGUCAUGAUCAAAGAACGUUCAUUUGUAUCAAUUAAAGGAUAAUAAAACAGUGUUAUCGAUGUAAUCUUUUACCUUUUUGGCACCUAAAUGAAUUGUAAGUAAAAUAAAUGGAAACACGAAAUGAGGUGUUCAUCCUCUUUUCUUUUUUUUUGAGUUGUAGAUCCUUUUGGUUGGUUGUUCGACAUGAAACUUAUACAACUAAUGACUCAGAACUUUUGGUAUCCCGUAUCCGUGAAUAGAAAUAAGUGUACGAGCAAACGUAUUUAUAUAUACUUGUAUGGGUUCUUUUGGUAAUGAUCAAUGUUAAGAACUUGUAUGAUUUUUAUUUUCUCUAAGCUCGUUUUAAUUUCUUCGUUGAUUUUGACAUUUUUGAACGAACUUAAACUUACGAAAAAUAUUGUUUGAAUAAUAAAAGAAAUUCUCAGGUUUAUAGAAAUUAAUACCAAAACGGUCGACUAUGGUUAAAAACAGAUUAGUGUAUGAGCUUAGAAAGCUAAAUGUAGCUAAACAUUUGACCGCUUAUUUUUCUAGUUUUUCUUCGCAACAAUCAUAAAUAAAUCGGUGAGAUAUACAUAAACGAUAAACUAGCCACAAAAUUUAGAUAUAAAAAAGUGUUUAACAAAAGAUGGUUAAGUUGCAUUUAGACAAAAUUUCGUAUUGUGCAGUUUGUGUAUUAAAAUAUAUAGUAUUAAAAAUUUAGGGUAUCAAAAUUUAUUUGAAAAGAAAUUCAAUUUCUUUCAUAAACUAGCCUUUAGACCACUGUAUCAGUCUUACGGUCAGUGUUAAUUUGAGAUUUGGAAGGAAUGAAAUUUGAUAAAAAUAUCCAUAAUUCCAACAGAUAAUCUAUCAUAAAAUCAUAGCAUAUACCACAAGUGAAAUUCUAUAGCUGAAGCCCUAAGCCAUAUAUUCAGUUUGAUUAGCUGAAACCUUAGUCUGUGUCAUUCUCAGAAUGAAGCGCGGUUUUGUAAUUGGUUCAAAGGUUAGUUUACAUUUCUUUGUACGUUAAUAUGGUUCUUCGUAAAGUUGUUUCAGCGUAAUUAUUUGCAAAAUUUCCUUAUCAUAUCAUUAUCAACCAGCCAAGUUUCAGUCAUUAACAUGCCUCUGAGAGGAGGUUAUUUGAAGGUAUUUUUGGAAAAUUUCCAUAUUAUCAUAACAACCAACCAAAUUCCAAUCGGUUGAGUGAACCAAACUGAUUCAGAUAUCUUUUAUAUUUGUAGUUUUGGGAAAAUAACUGGGCCUAAUUAUUAUGGGCCAAGGGCUAACGUGACUAAAGCAAGAAGUUAGAAAGUCGGAAACAACUGUUGUAGAGGAAGAGAAACGUUUGGACUCUCACUCUUUUUCCUUUUCGAUCUAUGCAAGUUGAGAGAGAAAAUGGAGACGAAUAAAGAAGAAAUGGCUCCUCUCAGAGGCAUACUAUGUCUGAAAAACAGUCAAGACAUGAAGAAAAUCGAGGAGACAGAGGACUGCUUCAUUCUAGAUUGUGACACUUUGGAUCCUUUCGACUUUAAAAUAGAGAUCAAGAAAGAAGUAACUCCCCUCAGAAACAUAUUAUGUCUGAAAAACAGACAAGACAUGAAGAGAAUCGAGGAGACAGAAGACUGCUUCAUUCUUGAUUUCGACCCUUUUGAUUCUUUCGACUUUAAAAAACUCUCAGUCUCCAGUGAUGGUGAUAAAGAUCUGGAUAUUAUCCAUGAGACAGGCCAGGUCUUAGUUUUGAAGUUUAGGGAUUACUUCUAGGUUUAUCUCUAUUUUUGCUCUAACUUUAUUUUUUGAAAAUGUGAUGGAAUCUCAGGUGGCUUGUAGGGAUUACCCACAUCCAAGACACCUUUGCUUGACUUUUCCCUUUGGAUCAACUCCUAAUGCAACCCAUUGUCGUCUGGUAAUUACUUGUCUCUUUCUUUUUAAAAGGAUUUAAGGAAAAAAUAAGUAUGAAAUGGCUUAACUUGGUGUUCAAGUAUCUAUGAAACUGUCUUUUCCUCCUUUUGAUAUGGCAAGUAUUUUAACUAUAGAGAUUAACAUGAAUGAAUAUAUGCAGUGUUACUGUUGCGUCUGCGAUAAGCCUGCACCUUGUGCACAAUGGAUGUCGCAUUGCAAUACUUCAGAGGACUCUAUGGUGCGGAAGCUACCGACCCCUGAGAGCCAGAGCUUCUAUUACUCCGAUUAAUAUCAUCUUUUUGUUGACAGUUUCUCCCUUGCGUUUUCACAUCUUUGAAUGAGUAGUAGAUCAACAUAGCCUUGGAAGACUAUGGAUUAACAAUGCAUAACUAUUUAGUAUGAUAUUUUUAUGGGUGAUUUGCUAGGCUAUAUUGUUUCUUGCUGAGGAUUCGGUUACAAACCUCGGUAAAACGGGUCAUAUGUGCCUAAAGUUCAUAAAAUUGAAAGCACAAAGCAAAUUUAUAUGCCUAAAGCUUUGUGCCACAUAAAAUAGAGGAUUGUUGAUUUGUUUCAAUAUUUCUGUAGUUACAUAAUUUUGUUCCAAAUAAACACAAACCAUAUUCAUAUAACCACAAAAAAAAAUCAGAAAUUCAGAACCAAACCAAGCAUUUCCGAGAAUAUAUAUAACUUCCAUGUUCAAAUACCAAAGUCCCUAGAUUGAGUAGAUGAGGCAUGCCGCAUGCAUGUUACUAACUUACUAUGUUAGCAGUGUAAGGUGUGAUCAAUGAUCAUGAUGAUUGUAUGUGGACAUGAGCAUUAUAUAUGUGUAUGAGAUUCGAUCAUGUUGCAUUUUUCAAUACUCAACUGCCCAUGUUGCUUAUCCGGAAGGGUUCAGUUUCUAAUCUAUCGUCAACAAAUCUGUUUAUGUAAUUUGUACGUCUAGUUCUAUCAAUUCGUUCUUUUAAAAUCCUAUCUUGUAAUUUUAUGCACUUUAUAUUUUAGUUCAUAUUGAAAUAUUAGUGUAAAGCUCUUAUUUCUAAUUUUUCCAAUAAAGGAUAUACAUGUGACAUUCUUAUCUUAAAACCAUGUCAUAACUCAUAAUCUUAUAAUUAGAAUCAGAUAAACGUACAAGAAGGUUCAUAAUGAACCAUCCGCGUUGACCAAAAAAAAAAACCCAUCCGUAGGCAGGUCAUUAGCUUUAAUUUUGCUUUGGGGUCAAGCAAAUAAUCCAAACAAUUUGUUUUUUCUUUUUUGCCUCUUCUCCAAGUUCUUUCUUUUCCAUGGGUAUAUAUAUAUAUGUAUGUAUAGCCUGUCGAAGAAAAUGAAAAAGAGAUUUCAAAAUCAAAUAAAAAGAUUUAAGAGAGUUUUAGUUUGUUGAGCUUCUUCCCCUUCCCAGAGUUAGUUACACAAAAAGAUGAUGAUCCGUUCAAGAACCGCAGCUACCACCGCCGCUAGAUCCUUGGGCUACCUCCGUCACUCUUCGGCUCUCGUUCACUCUCCCCUCCUCUCCGGCGCCACCGCCACCACUCCCUCCGUCCGCCACUUCACCUCUCCCGUCAACAGGUAAAAUCUAAAGCUCAGGGUUUCGUAAUCUCUCUGCGGAAUGUGAAUGGAUUAGUCUAGCUUAGAGCUCGAUUUGGUUGGUGAUAUGUUAGUUAAUCGUCUUCUUCUUUGUUAUAUAUAGCUACCAAAUCAAGCCGCCGGUGAACUGGGGAAUCCGAAUCGUCCCGGAGAAGAGAGCCUGCGUGAUUGAGCGGUUCGGCAAAUACGUCAAGACGUUGGAGUCCGGGAUCCACUUCCUCGUCCCCGGCGUGGAUCGAAUCGCCUACGUGCAUUCGCUCAAGGAGGAAGCGAUUCCGAUUGGGAACCAGACUGCGAUUACGAAGGAUAACGUCAGCAUCCACAUCGAUGGCGUUCUUUACGUCAAGGUUUGUUAUCGUUAUCUUUACUUCUUUGAAUUACUUUUUAGAUCUAUGCUGAGUUUUUUUUUUUUUUUUUUUUUGCAGAUUGUGAAUCCGCAUCUGGCGUCUUACGGCGUUGAGAAUCCGAUCUACGCUGUUAUGCAGUUGGCUCAGACCACUAUGCGUAGUGAACUUGGGAAGAUUACUCUUGACAAGACUUUUGAGGAACGAGAUGCGUUGAAUGUCAAGAUUGUGGUUCGUUUUCUUUGCUUUUGGUCAUGUUUAGUGCUUAAAGAUUGCAGUUUGUUUAGCUUUUUUGAUUGUUUAGUCAUUGCUGGAUCUGAGUUUAGUUGAUAAGUGUUUGUAUAAUGCAGCUGGAGAAUGCAUUCGUAGUUUAAUGUACUGAAUAUUACAAGCAUGUGAUGAUUCUGUGACGCUGAAUGAAAAGAAUGUAGUGCAUUUUCUUUUGCCUUAACUUGAGCUUAGUUUCGAAUUGAACAGUUUGCAGUUUGCUUAGCUUUUUGGUUCUUUUAACUGUUUUCUGAGUCUGAGUUUAGUUUUUGUUAGAUAAGAGUAUGUAAAAUGCAGCUGUUUAAUGUAUUGAAUAUUAUUACAAGCAUGUGAUUGUUUUGAGAUGGAAUGAUUCUUGCAGGAAGCAAUCAAUGUUGCUGCUAAAGAUUGGGGUCUUGAGUGCCUUCGUUAUGAGAUAAGUGAGUACUUUUUUCUCUGUUUUGACUCUUUUGGUGGAUUCUCUUGUUUGGCUAUUUCUAAGUACAUGUGUUGUUGUAUUCCAGGGGAUAUCAUGCCUCCUAAUGGAGUGAGGGUUGCUAUGGAGAUGCAAGCUGAAGCUGAACGUAAAAAGAGAGCCCAGAUUCUCGAGUCUGAAGGUAAACUAGCAGACUUGUGUUCUGUGAUUGAACAGUGUGCUUUUGCUACAGCUCAAGAAUACAGAAUUAAAGCCUGUUUAGCUUGUUUCUGAUGAUCUGUUUUACUGACUUGAACAGGAGAACGCCAAGCCCAUAUCAACAUAGCUGAUGGUAAGAAGAGUUCUGUAAUCUUGGAAUCAGAAGCUGCAAAGAUGGACCAAGUCAAUCGAGCAUCAGGUUUGUAUUAAUUAUAUUUAGUAAGCAUGAACGUAAGCCAUUCUUUCUUCAGUUUUGUUUCAUCACAACAUUUCUUCUUUGUUGUAUUGAUUUUCAGGCGAGGCAGAAGCAAUAUUAGCUAGAGCACAAGCAACAGCGAGGGGGCUGACCAUGUUAUCUCAAUCCCUCAAGGAAACUGGUGGAGUGGAGGUUUGUAUAAUAUGAGAUUAAACUGAUGUUAGUCGUAUGCUGCUACUUAUAACUUGAUCCUUCAGACGAGUUUGGUUUCACACAUUGAGGCAUCUAACCUUUGUUUCCCAUAAAUGAUUCUCUCUGACAGAUUCUAACUAGAGGUUUCUGUGGCUUAUAGGACUUAUAAGAAACUUGUUUAGCUUUCCAAAAUAAAGACUCAUUUUUGAUCGUGUUGUAAUAUGCAGGCUGCGAGUUUGAGAGUUGCGGAGCAAUACAUUCAAGCUUUUGGGAACAUAGCCAAGGAGGUAAACAACUAUGAAACACAACUUUACCAUACCAUAUAGUUAUCUCAUCCUAUCUACUUGACAAUCUCUUCCUCCCUUUGGGUAUCAAUCAAAAAGGGCUAAUAAAUUGUGUUUCAUGGUUAGGGUACAACGAUGCUGCUUCCGAGUUCAGCUGCAAAUCCUGCAAACAUGAUCGCUCAAGCCUUGACAAUGUACAAAAGCCUCGUCCCCAAUGGUGGUAUCCAGGAAACUUCAGCUGUGGAAUCCUCGUCUAAAGCGAAAUAGAAGUGGUGGUGGUGGUAGAAGAGCUAGGAACAAUGAUAAUUCUUUUGAUCUGUGUAACAGCUUUUCAGUUUGAUAUAUGAGAAACAGUUUAUCUUUCUAAGUUUGCAAACAGAAAAACAAAUCUAAGCUCUAAUUUCUGAAAGGAGAUUUUUUGCACCAAGUUUGGUCUUGAAAUGUUUAGUGUCUGUUCUUUUGCAUCUUCAUUUCUUGUUUGGUUGCUAUUGUGGAGUGUCAAGUAGAUUUUGUGACAAGGAUAAGAAACUGUUGCUAGAGGAAGAACGGUGUAGGUCGUUGACAGACAAGAGCCUCGAAGAAUCUAAUGGUGACAUGAACAUUUUUUAGUCUUUUUCUUGAAAUAGCAUGUCUUGGCUGUCUGUACAACCACUGUAUAUAUCCUCUUUGUUGUCUUCUACUAUAUAUUUGCUCAGCUUCUAAUAAGGAAAAUUAAAAAAAAGGAUCAGAAAGGGAGUUUCAUUGUUUGCUUCACAGUUCUUCCCAUCGUACUUUGUUUAUUUUUUUUUCACCAACAUUACCAUGGGAGCCUGUGCGAGCACGCCUAAGGAGUCUGAUAUUCUUGAAACCCCUGCCACCACUGAAAACGCUGUGGUCGAGUCCAUGAACGUCCAAACCGAAGCUGUAUCUCAGGUUUUUGUGGAUCAAAUAUCAUUUUGGUUUCUGAGCAAAAUAGUUAAUGCUUUUGGAUGAAAGAUGUGUAAUUACUUUUGUUCUUCCUUGGCGAGUUACAGGAGAAGGCAGAUGAAGUUGUUGCAGAGAAGAAGGAAGAGUCUAAUGUAGAUGAAGCAGAGAUACAGAAGGAAGCUGAACCAGCCAAGCCUGCAGAGGUUGAACCAGCUCCAGAGGCUGUGAAGACCGAAGAAACUCAAGAAGCUGCUGUUGAUGAGAAAGCUUCUUCUGGUGAGACUGAGCCACCAAAACAAGAGGAGGCUACAACCGCCAGUGACACCAAAACUAACGAAGAGCCUCUUGUAACCCUUUAAACUCAUUUCUCAACUCUGUAAUAUGUACGUUUCAUUGUCGUAUUUCUAGUGCUGCCAAUGUAUAACCUAUCACAAUAAACGAAUUUCUAUAAUUUUCCAGCGUGGUAAGUAUUUAUUUGUUGGGCUUAGGUAUAAAUGGGCUUUAAAAUCAACUAAUGGUUUUUUGUUUAAGUAAAGGUAAAGCUAAGUUUUUGUCCCACUUCGGAACAAGUAGUGGAGUUGAUAGGUAUUGCUUAGAUAUAAAUAAAGAGGCUCUCUCUCACUAUCAAACCAUCUUUGCGCUUGGGGCAAUGACGCAGCUAAUGAGGUACUAACCGAGGCGCGUCUAUUGCUGGUUGAAAACUAUUUCCAAACCCCCUCCUGGGCCUGAGCUUGUCUUGGGCCUUCGAGAAUUUCUGGAAGGGCUCCCUUCGGGGUAAAGCUCUACAAUUCUUUAGUUUAAUUAUUUGUUUGUAGCUUUAUGAUUAUAGACUAAAAACGUUUUCUAUUAUCAUUCUAAACCACUACAUUUAUAGAAAAACAGAGGAAGACUUUUAAGUAUUAGCAAAAUUUACAGGGUUUAGAAUGAAAUGGGCUUUAAUGAUUCAUAAAACCUAGAUCUCGAUGUUUCAAAUUCAUACUAAUAUCAAGUGCUUGUUCUCCCACAUCGAUUACAAAACUCAAGAACAUUAAAGAAUCUGAACUUUAAAUUAGACGCAGAGCAGCGUGAUAAAGACUCACGGAGCCGUGCAGUGGGGGCAAAGCGAACUAUUCUUUCGCCUUUUACUAAAGAAUACCGUGUUCUCUCUGUAUUUAGCGGCAUACGCCUAUUUUUGGAAAAGGGUUUAGAAAUAAACCUCCAUCAGUUCUUUAGUUUAAAAUUAUAAUAUUUUUGAGGUAUAUAGGUGUCAAAAUAUUACUCACAAUAUUUGAUAAGUGUUUGUCACUAUGGUUCUUUUCUCCCACAGUUACCACUAACUAAAGAUGAGAAGUAUCUCUGUUUGGUUCAAUGUAGUAGUCUUUAAUGAGUGAUUUCAGAUCGUUUUGGUGCCGCAGCACGGUGAACAUAUGUUGAAACGCGAGGCUUAUGACGGAAGAUGCAGGUUGAGACUUGAGAGGAAAGAUAAUUGAUGGUUUACGCGGCGGACCUUGGAAGAUCUUGUUAAGAGUGUGAUGAAUGAAAGUAGUGAGGUUGGAAGAAUCAUGAUAAAUGGAGAUGUGUUUUGACUUUUGAGCGACUAAGGUUUUGCUGAUGGUUAUAUCUGCAAAUUUAAACAUAACUUAAUUGAUCUUGUGAAGACAUGAAUUAUCAUUUCUAGUCUUUCCAUUUAGUUCGGUUUAAUUGGUCAUGUUUGGCUUUGUUUGAGUCUCGGAGAGAUAGAUUUGUAGUAGGGCAUGUUGCAUUGCAUGCUCUUCGUAUGUCCCGUAAGAUUAGCUAUUUAAUAAUUUUAUUUUAUUUUGGAACGAAAUUAGCUUAUAACUUUUUUAAAGCUUAUAAACAAAAAGGAAAUCACGGAAUUUAAUGAAUGCCCAGUUGUAGAUUUGGCAUAAUCGUAACAACUUUGCAUGUCAUCUUUGCAAUCCAUAAGAUUAUGUAUCUGGAACUCUGGAAGCAUAAAAAUAAUAUCGUAGUUUUGAUUAUGCAGUUAAUUAGCAUAUAAUAUAAUUAUGCUAUAGAUUAUUAGGGGAUAAUUUCCGGAAACUAAAAUAGCAAAAGGAAAUCACAGAUUGUAAAAAAAUUAAAUAAACGAAACUAAAGACUUGGCUUAUUCGUGGAGGCUUGAAUCAUUCAACUCAUAAUAGCACUUUCCUAAACUUCAGGUCAUCUGCAACUGAAAUUUUAUAAACAAAACAUAAGAACAAGAAUAAAAAAAAACGAAGGGACAGAAACAGAAAUGGGAUCAAAGUUUCAUGCUUUUAUGUUUCCAUGGUUCGGUUUUGGCCACAUGACUGCAUUUCUACAUCUGGCUAACAAGCUAGCUGAAAAAGGGCACAAAAUCACUUUCUUGCUACCCAAGAAAGGUCUGAAGCAACUUGAACCUCUCAAUCUGUUCCCAAAAUCCAUUGUCUUUCACAUUCUUACCAUCCCUUCCGUCGAUGGUCUCCCUGAUGGUGCCGAAACAACCUCGGAUAUCCCCAUCACGUUAGGUAGUUUUCUGGCCUCAGCUAUGGAUCGCACACGUGGCCAGGUCGAAGAAGCGGUUCGAUUAGGUAAACCGGAUCUAAUUUUCUUUGAUUUUGCUCACUGGAUUCCGGACAUAGCUAGAGAAUAUGGGGCCAAGAGUGUGAAUUUUGUAACGAUCUCUGCAGCAUGUGUAGCUAUCUCAUUUGUCCCUGGUCGUAGUCCAGAUGAAUUAGCUAUACCUCCUCCGGGGUAUCCUUCCUCCAAGGUGUUGCUUCACGGACAAGAAACCAGUUCCUUGUCAUUUCUGUCCUAUCCCUUUGGUGAUGGAGUGACGUUUUACGAACGGAUCAUGACAGGGCUUGUGAACUGUGAUGUCAUAUCGAUAAGGACUUGCCAGGAAAUGGAAGGAAAAUUCUGCGAUUUUAUCGAAAGGGAAUUUCAAAGAAAAGUUCUCUUGACGGGUCCAAUGCUUCCUGAGCCGGACAAUAUCAAACCACUCGAAGAUCGAUGGAGUCACUGGCUGAACCGGUUCGAACCAGGAUCAGUAGUAUAUUGUUCACUUGGCAGCCAAAUCAUUCUUGAGAAGGAACAAUUUCAAGAACUAUGUUUAGGAAUGGAGCUGACUGGUUUACCAUUUCUUGUGGCGGUAAAGCCACCAAAAGGCGCAUCUACGAUUCAGGAAGCCUUACCAAAAGGGUUUGAAGAGCGGGUUAAGGAGCGUGGAGUGGUUUGGGGAGAAUGGGUGCAGCAGCCACUGAUAUUGGCUCAUCCAUCAAUAGGUUGCUUUGUGAGCCAUUGCGGGUUCGGGUCAAUGUGGGAGUCUCUGUUGAAUGACUGCCAAAUAGUGUUUAUUCCACAUUUGGGUGAACAAAUAUUCAACACCAGGCUAAUGAGCGAGGAACUUGAGGUCUCGGUGGAGGUGAAAAGAGAGGAAACAGGAUGGUUUUCAAAGGAGAGCUUAAGCGGUGCGGUUAGGUCAGUAAUGGACAAAGACACCGAGCUAGGGAACCUAGUAAGGAGGAAGCAUGCUAAAUGGAAGGAGUCUCUACUUAGUUCUGGAAUAAUCAGUGGUUAUGUCAAUAAGUAUGUAGAAGCACUGGAGAAACUAGUCUAAAAGAGACGAAACAUGAAAUAAAUUGCAUGUGUUUCAAAAAAAAAAAAAAAAUGAAAUAAAUUGCAUUGGUCUUAGUAACGUUGCUAUCAUUAACUAUACCACAUAACAUAAAAUGAAUUUUCUAUCUUGUAAGAUAAACUUCUAUAUAACAAUCAAAUCACUCCUUGUAGUGAUUUCCUGAAAGAGUUGCCAAAUAAUAAAUUCAAAGAAUUUAAAGAAAUAUUGGGACAUUGGUAUGAAAAUGAAGUUUUAGCUUGUGAGUUUCAAUAUCUUAGUCUGUUUUCUUUUCAUUCGUGUAUCCUACUUGUGUUUUCUUUAUUCACUAGUUACUUAUUAGACGUUAUUAGUCAAGUAGUGAAUACAUUGAAAAAUAAAAAAAUGGUUUCAUUUGAAUUAUUGUUGUUAGAUAACGAUAUAAGUAUAAUAUUUCAUCAAUCUUCAAAAAAAAAAAAGUAUAAUAUUUCAUCUUUCUUUAUUGAUUUUCAUUAGUUAUACGAUUUGGUGUUAAUCCGGGAACAAGGAUUUCAACAUCUACUGAUGAACAUUUUAUUGGUAACUUCCGAUCUAAAUUAUUUCAAAAAAAUUAUUUUGUUCUCAGUAAAUCAUUAAUUCAAAAUCAAUAUCAUAUAAUAAAAACGAAUCUUAUAUCUUGUAAGAUAAACUCUUAUAAAACAAUCAAAUAAUUCAUUGUAAUGAUUUCAUAAAAGAUUUGGCAAAUAAAUUACUUUAAAUAAUUUUAAGAAAUAUUGGGACAUCAAUAUGAAAAGAAAGUCUUAGUGGUUAGUUUCUAUAUCGUAGUGUGUUAUCAUGUUAUUGAUGUGUCCUACUUUUGUUUCCUUCGUUCAUUAGUACUUUAUGAGUUUAUUCUAAUAUAUAUAAAGUAAACAUUCAAUAAAACUUAUGUUGUGUCACUUAUAGUUAAUUCUAGAUUAAUUGAAGAUCUUUCUUUUGACAUGAGAUCUUCUAGAAUCUCACAUUCAAAAAUUGUAAUAAAUAUUAUUGUUUUGUCUAAAUUUUAGGCUUCUUUAUUAUUAUUUUUUUUAAUUUUAUUUAUUUCUGUAAAUUGAAUUUUCGGAUAAAAAUAUAAAUUUUACCGGAUAUAUAAAUACCGAAUAUUUAGAUUAAACAAUCAUGGAUUAUAAAAAUGAUGAUUUGGACAGAAAACAAAAGAAGAUCAUGAAUUGCACUCAAAAUAGAAAGAUCAUGAAUAACUUCAAAAUACUAUAUAUAUAUAUAUAUAUAUAAUAAGAUCCCCCGGCGUAUUAUUAACAUGUAUUACACGUGAUUGUAUCUGAUGUGAUCGUUUUAUUGAUAUUAGAUUUUGAUCCGUGUUUUUUUAAAUGCUAAUAGAUAUUUUAUACUGUGAAAUUUAAUAAAAAUAUAUCAAAUAUUUUAUUAGAAAAGUUAAAAAAUAUAUAUAUAUAUAUAUAUAUAUCCUAUAUAAUAUGUCAACCCUAUAUGACGUGGGUCCAUUCAACGUUUGUUUUGUUGAUAGCAUCACAAUUGAACAAACCGCUAAUCUUACCUAACACAUAAGCAUGGCAAUUUUAUUACAAAAUAAACUAUACAUCCUAUCUAUGUCAACACUAAAUGACGUGGGUCCAUUGUACCACUAAUCUUACCCAACACAUGAGCCUGGCAAUUUUAUUUCAAAAACACUAUAUAUAUAUCCUAUCUUUGUCUACCCUAAAUGAUGUGGUCCAUUCAUUCACCUUGUGUUUUGUCGAUAAUAUCAUAAUUGAGCAACAGACGACCGCUCAUCUUACCUAACCACAAGAAAAACAAAGAAGCAAUGAUUCUACAAAAAGUAAAAACAAAACAAAUAUGAAAAUUUGUCUCUCUCGUGGCUGUUUAUUAUGCCGGCUCUCUUGUGGCUAUAUUUAAGAUAAGGUGUACGAUUUGGGAGAGAAGAAAGAGAUAGAAAAGAAAAAGAAAAAAAAAAAACAGAAAUGGGAUCAAAGUUUCAUGCUUUUAUGUUCCCAUGGUUUGGUUUUGGUCACAUGACUGCAUUUCUGCAUCUGGCUAACAAACUAGCGGAGAAAGGUCACAAAAUCACUUUCUUGCUCCCCAAGAAAGCUCUGAAGCAACUAGAACCUCUCAGUCUGUUCCCAGGAUGCAUUGUCUUUCACACUCUUACCAUCCCUUCUGUGGAUGGUCUCCCUGAUGGCGCCGAAACAACCGCGGAUAUACCAAUCACCUUAGGGGGCUUUCUGGCCUCAGCUAUGGAUCGCACACGCGGUCAGGUCGAAGAAGCGGUUCGAUUAGGUAAACCGGAUCUGAUUUUCUUCGAUUUUGCUCACUGGAUUCCUGAAGUAGCUAAAGAGUAUGGAGCCAAGUGUGUGAAUUUCCUAACGAUUUCCGCAGCAUGUGUAGCUAUCUCAUUUGUCCCUGGUCGUAGUCCAGAUGAGUUAACUGUUCCUCCUCCGGGGUACCCUUCGUCCAAGGUGGUGCUUCGCGGACAAGAAACCAACUUCUUGUCGUUUUUAUCCUAUCCCUUUGGUGAUGGAGUAACGUUUUACGAACGGAUCAUGACAGGGCUUGUUAAAUGCGAUGUCAUAUCGAUAAGGACUUGCCAGGAAAUCGAAGGAAUAUUCUGCGAUUUUAUCGAAAGGGAAUUUCAAAGAAAAGUUCUCUUGACGGGUCCAAUGCUUCCUGAGCCGGACAAUAUCAAACCACUAGAAGAUCGAUGGCAUCAAUGGCUGAACCGGUUUGAACCAGGAUCAGUAGUAUACUGUUCGCUUGGCAGCCAAAUCAUUCUUGAGAAGGAAGAAUUUCAAGAACUCUGUUUAGGAAUGGAGCUGACCGGUUUACCAUUUCUUGUAGCGGUAAAGCCACCAAAAGGCGCAUCUACCAUCCAGGAAGCCUUACCAGAAGGGUUCGAAGAUCGGGUUAAGGAGCGUGGAGUGGUUUGGGGAGAAUGGGUGCAGCAGCCACUGAUAUUGGCUCAUCCAUCGAUAGGUUGCUUUGUGAGCCAUUGUGGAUUUGGGUCAAUGUGGGAGUCUCUAUUGAAUGACUGCCAAAUAGUGUUUAUUCCACAUUUGGGUGAACAAAUAUUCAACACCAGGCUAAUGAGCGAGGAACUUGAGGUCUCGGUGGAGGUGAAAAGAGAGGAAACAGGAUGGUUUUCAAAGGAGAACAUAAGCGGGGCGGUUAGGUCAGUGAUGGACAAGGACACCGAGCUAGGGAACCUAGUAAGGAGGAACCACGCCAAAUUGAAGGAGUCUCUACUUAGCUCUGGAAUAAUCAGUGGUUAUGCCAAUAAGUACGUAGAAGCACUUGAGAAACUAGUCUAAAAGAGACAAAACAUGAAAUAAAUUGCUUUGCAAGGAAACUUUGUUGGUCUUAAAUAAUGACGUCAUAUGAAUAAAGGAUGUCAUAUCGCUCGACUUAUUUGCUUAUUUUGUUAAUCACUUAUGAAUAAACGAUGUCAUAUCGUUGGUCUUGUAUGAAUUUUACAUGAGGAUUCCAUGCUUCUUCAAUAAAUUUCGAUCUCUUGUGUCAUGUGACUUCUGUGUUAGCUUUGUGCGUUACUAUCUUAUGUUUAUUUUUUUAUAUAACUUAAGUGGACCACACAAAAAGAUGAUCAAUAUUCGAAAACAAAUCAAAACAAAAUAAAAGAACGUUUCUUAACCUAAAAGGAUAAAAAAAAAAGAACAAAAUUUGGGUUCACCCCCUAUCGUGAAUUGUGAAAUUCACCCCAUUCUUUUCUACUAAUCAAAUUGUCAUGUAGGAUUAAUGAAAAAAUGAUAUUAAAAUUAGAAAAAAAACAAGGAAAAUAGCUUGAAAAUAAAAAAGGAGCUAACAUUGUUACGCCUUCCAUCGACUUCUUCUCUUCAUCGCUCACAGAGAAGAUAUAGGAAUACAAGGGUUUGUCAAAUUUGAGUCUCCAAUUCUAUGCUUUCAAAUCCAAUUUCGAUUUGACCAUUUCCAAGCCAAAUCAAACCAUGUUCAUCCAUGGAUUUUCUUCUUCUUCAUGCUAUUUGUACAUCAUCGCCGGCUUCAACCAAAAUCCAUUUUAUACUUCUGGAAAGAGUAUCAAUCAAACAACAAGGAAGCAUAAAAUGGAGAGUUAAAAGAUAAGUUUUUUUUAUUGGAAUUGAACUUUUGAUAAAUCUACAAAGGAAGUGGAUCAAAUAGAAGUUUCCAAGAAGAAGAACAAAGAAGAGUAGCAGAGAACAAGCUACAAAGAAGGACGAAGAAGAAGAGACUUGAGGCGCAAGAAACGACCUAGCCAUGGUUUCGAAGUUUAUGAAUUCGAAGUUUCAUUCUUUUAUGUACCCAUGGUUUCCUUUUGGUCACAUGACUCCAUAUCUACAUCUACCUAACAAACUUGCCGAGAAAGGUAACAGAAUCACCUUCUUGCUGCCCAAGAAAGCUCAGAAACUACUUGAGCAUCUCAGUCUCUUCCCACAACACAUCGUCUUUCACCCUCUUACUAUCCCUCAUGUCGAUGGCCUCCCUCCUGGCGCUCAAACAGCUUCCGAUAUCACCGUCUCCUUGGGGAAGUUCCUGACCCAAGCCAUGGACCUCACACGUGAUCAGGUUUUCUUCGAUUUCGCUUGUUGGGUCCCCGAGAUGGCCAAAGCAUAAAAAGUGAAGAGUGUGUCUCAUCAUGUGGUAUCUGCGUCUUCAAUGGCUUAUUCACUUGUCCCAGAUGCUGAACCAGGAGUUCCCCCACCGGGUUAUCCUUCAUCCAAGGUCACUUUCGUAAGCACGACGCCCCUAUUCCUUGUCGCCAACGGCCUCAGGUGCCCUUAAGAGGAUUAUUAAUCGGAUUAUCACAGGCCUUAAGAACUGCGACGUCAUCUCGUUUAGGACUUGCCAAGAUAUCGAAGGUAAGUUCUGCGACUUCAUCGAGCUUCAAUACCAGAAGAAGGUUCUCUUAACCGGUCCAAUGCUCCCUGAGUUAGGCAAGACUAUAGCACUAGAAAAUCAAUGGAAUCACUGGUUGAGAGGUUUUGAACCAGGGUCUGUUGUGUUUUUGUGCACUAGGCAGCCAAAUCAAUAUAGAGACGGAUCAAUUCCAAGAACUUUGCCUUGGAAUGGAACUAACAGGCUUACCGUUUCUUGUAGCGGUAAAGCCACCAAAAGAGGCAAAGAAGAUUCAAGAAGCUUUACCAGAAGGGUUUGAGGAGCGGUCGAAGGGUCGUGGAGUGGUCUGGGGAGGAUGAGUGCAACAACCAUUGUUAUUGGCUCAUCCAUCAAAUAGGCUUGCUUCCAUAUUUGGCUGAUCAAGUUCUCAACAUGAGAUUGUUGACCGUGGAACUAGAGGUUGCGGAUUUGCGGUUGAAGUGCAACGAGAAGAACCAGGAUGGUUCUCUAAAGAUAUAACCUGAGAGAUGCAAUCAUAUCCGUGAUGGUGAACUUGGAAAUUACGUCAGAAGGAACCACACGAAGUGGAAGCACUACAAGAAAACAUCGGGAUACUGAGGGAAAAAAUCGUCGGUAUGUCGUCGGAAUAACGUUAUUCCGAGGACAUACCGACGAAAAAAGUCCUCGGAAAUAACUCCUCGGAAAUUCAUAAUUCCUCGGAAUUCCGUCGGAAUUUUCCGACGGAAUUCCGAGGAAACAAAAUUCCGAGGAAACUCCGAGGACACAAUGUUCGUCGGAAGGUUCCUCGGAAAAUACCGAAGGAAUUCCGAUGGUCCAAUCCUCGGAAGUUUCGACGAAAUAUUUCUCGGAAUAUUUAUCGGAAAAUUCCGAGGGAAGAAAGUUCCUCGGAAAAUUCCGAGGAACAUUUGUUCCUCGGAAAAUUCCGAGGAACAUUUGUUCCUCGGAAANNNNNNNNNNNNNNNNNNNNNNNNNNNNNNNNNNNNNNNNNNNNNNNNNNNNNNNNNNNNNNNNNNNNNNNNNNNNNNNNNNNNNNNNNNNNNNNNNNNNNNNNNNNNNNNNNNNNNNNNNNNNNNNNNNNNNNNNNNNNNNNNNNNNNNNNNNNNNNNNNNNNNNNNNNNNNNNNNNNNNNNNNNNNNNNNNNNNNNNNNNNNNNNNNNNNNNNNNNNNNNNNNNNNNNNNNNNNNNNNNNNNNNNNNNNNNNNNNNNNNNNNNNNNNNNNNNNNNNNNNNNNNNNNNNNNNNNNNNNNNNNNNNNNNNNNNNNNNNNNNNNNNNNNNNNNNNNNNNNNNNNNNNNNNNNNNNNNNNNNNNNNNNNNNNNNNNNNNNNNNNNNNNNNNNNNNNNNNNNNNNNNNNNNNNNNNNNNNNNNNNNNNNNNNNNNNNNNNNNNNNNNNNNNNNNNNNNNNNNNNNNNNNNNNNNNNNNNNNNNNNNNNNNNNNNNNNNNNNNNNNNNNNNNNNNNNNNNNNNNNNNNNNNNNNNNNNNNNNNNNNNNNNNNNNNNNNNNNNNNNNNNNNNNNNNNNNNNNNNNNNNNNNNNNNNNNNNNNNNNNNNNNNNNNNNNNNNNNNNNNNNNNNNNNNNNNNNNNNNNNNNNNNNNNNNNNNNNNNNNNNNNNNNNNNNNNNNNNNNNNNNNNNNNNNNNNNNNNNNNNNNNNNNNNNNNNNNNNNNNNNNNNNNNNNNNNNNNNNNNNNNNNNNNNNNCUUUCCACAAAAUUUGCAUGAAACCCGCUGUUCAUCCGCCCUCCAAUAAAUCAUGCAGUUGUCUCUGCAUACAUCUAUUACCUGAUACGAUAAACCAAGACCAGCUACGAGUUUCUGAACCUCGUAGUAUGAGCCAGGAGCUACAUUAUCUUCAGGUAGAAUACCUUUUACAUAAUCAGCAAUCGCAUCCACACAGUCUUCAGCCAAAUUAUAAUCCGUCUUAAUGCCCAUCAAUCUUGUAGCAGAUGAUAAAGCUGAAUGACCAUCUCUGCAACCUUCGUACAAUGGUUGCUUUCCAGCAUCCAACAUAUCAUAAAAUCUCCUAGCUUCGGCAUUGGGUAAAUCUUCCCCUCUAAAAUGAUCAUUUACCAUCUGCUCAGUACCUACACCGUAAUCUACAUCCGUUCUAAUUGGAUCUUCUAAUCUAACCGGUGGCUGAGGUUCGCUAGUACUACCAAGUUCAUAAUCAGUUUCUCCAUGAUGAUACCAAAUUUUGUAACUUCGUGUAAACCCACUCAAAUAUAAAUGAGUCCAAACAUCCCAUUCUUUAAUAACUUUUUUAUUUUUACAAUUAGAGCAAGGACAUCUUAACAUACCUGUUUUUGCUUCCGGUUGUCGGUGAACUAACCCCAUGAAUUCGGUUAUACCUUGUUGGUAUUCUUCCGUAAGCAAUCUCGUGUUCGGAUCCAAAUGAGGUCGAUCGAUCCAAGAACGAAAAUAAUUGGAAGAAGACAUGUUUUUUAUGAAUCAAAUUCGUGUGUAAAGAAAGUGAGAGGGAGGAUGAAGAUAUGGUGUGAAUGAAGAGGAAGAGGGGUGCUUGUAUUUAUAGGUGAAAUCCUGCCGACGGUCCGAGGAAAUUCCGACGGAAUUCCGAUGCAAACGGCUAGUUCGUCGGAAUUUCCUCGGAAUUUUUAAAAUCCCCCAACGGCUCUCCAACGGCUCUCUAACGUCUAUAAUAUUUCCUCGGAAUUCAUCGGUUUUUUCCGAGGAAUACUAGUUUCCUCGGUAUUCCGUCGGAAUAUUCCGACGAAAUGUGUUUUCCUCGGAAUUCCGUCGGAAUAUUCCGACGGAAUUCCGAGGAAGCAAAAUUUUGUAUUUCCUCGGAAUUGCCUCGGAAAUGCCUCGGUAUAUUCCGAGGAAUUCAUUUUCCGUCGGAUCGUCCGUCAGAAUACCGCUGUUUUCUUGUAGUGAAGGGUUAUUUGUUCAGACGUGGAGUAAUGAGUGGUUAUGUUGACAUGUACGUAGAAGCAUCAGUGAAUUUCGUCCAUAAAUUGAAUUAUGAAAUACUUUGUAGCGUUUUAACAAAUAAAGUCGUGUGUAUGAAUAUUAGAAAAUUACGGAUAGUGAAUUAAAGAACGCGAAAAACGUAUUUCAAAACAUGAUUACGUACGUGAGCCAUUCUUUCGUACUUAUCACGUGAUUGAAUAGACUAAAAUCAUAGGCUAGUUACGUACUAUAUUUCUUUCUAAACUCAUAAUAAGUUUCACACAUUUUCUCAUUUAUUUCUAUUUACAUUUUCCUUUCAAAUAACAUCGGCUGUUGUUCCAAAAUAUCAGUCUCCUAAACUUUCAUAGGUACAAAAUACAAAAUAUCUAUAGACUACAACUAUGAAUUUGUUAUUCACUGUUAUCAAGUAUACAAUGAAAAGUAUAGUGGCCAACUUGUUCACGGUGUGGCUUGUUUUUCCGGUCCAGAUCAGAUCCGAUCUCGGAUCUGGAUCCGUGUAUUGUGCUCAGCUCUAAAUAAAUGGCAUAAUUAACUUAAUAUUCACGUAGAAUGCACUACUUACACAUAACCCUUACUAAUUAUUAACCUUAAUCAACCACUAGCCAGACCCUGCCCUGAUAAGAAGCUGUAGAUGCAUGAGAUUCCAACCUCCAAAAUAUAUAUAAAAUUUUCGGCCAUUUUUUCUUAAAUUGUUCAUUAGUCUAGUGGUAUUGAGAAAGUUGGAACCCUUGCACCCUGAGUUUGAACCAUGAGUUGGUUGUUAGCUUUUUUUUUUUUGAAAUAGUUCAGGACCGCUACUACCACUAGCAAGUAUUAUAAUAUACAAGAUAUGAGCCUAUUGCGUCGUAACGGGUUUUUGUUUGAUGUUUUAAUUUAAUAAAAACCAUAAAAUAAUAAAUUAUUUUAUUAUAGUAUUAUGAUUUUUUUUUUGCAUAUGUUGUUUGAGAUUUAUUUUAUAAUUAAAAUUUAUUUUCACAUAUAAAUUCAAGUUAAUAUUUGUAUUUUAUAAUCAUGGUGCAUAGAUGAAUUGUUAUAAACUUUAUAUAUAUCUUUUAUCUUGUAGCAUAUCAAAUUGUAGAUGUCUUGCGACAACUUUUGCAUCUUGUUGCUUCACAUUUUUGCAUCGAGCACAUGGACACAAUAAAGUUUGCCGCUUCUCGUAAUAUGCUUGAUUACACCCAAAUUGAAUAAAUGCGUUAAUGCCCCCGAAAAAUACUUCUGAAACGGAAUUACUCUCAGGAUCAAUCCUUUGAUCCACCCAUUCCCUAGAUUCAAAGUAAAAAGACAUAGUUUUUGUUUACAAAAUUUGGGUAAACAUCAAAACUUCUUAAUGCUUCAUCCGUGAGAUGUCUAUAUAUUAGAAAGUAGCCACGCUUUAUCCACUAAAGUAGCGUGGCUUUUGAAAAACAUCACUGCAUAAAGCAUCUCAGCCACGGUACAGCCAUAAAUAAACCGUGGCUAUGUUACAUUUGGUCAAUACGAUUGGACAUAACACUACUAUUUUGAUGUCUAUAAAAACAAAACGUAGCCACUAAUUAUUGUAGUGGUUAAAUCGUGGCUAGGUCUGUUCCCACAAAAAAAUACGUUGCUAGUUCGUGGCUAGUGUAGCCACACUACUUUUUCGUGAUUUAAUCGCGUCUUUUUUUUUGGGUUUUUCGUGGCUAAUAUUUUUUCCGUGUCUCCGACGUGGCGGUUGCAUGGCUUAUAGCCAUGGUUAUGUAGUGGCACUACCAUGGCUAUGCGGUAGAUUUUUACUAGUGGUUGACAAUGAGAAAGUUGAAGUAGGACACGUCGCAGGAGAGCUACAGAAAGCAGAUAUUCUAACCAAAGUGUUGGGAAGAAUCAAGUAUAAAGAGAUGAGAGAGCUAGUAGGAGUGCAAGAUGUCAAUCAAGUUCACUUCAAAUUUAAAGAGGAGAUUGUUGGAUAAGCUUGAGUUAGCUUGAGAAGCAAGCAACCUAAAUCAAUUGAGUUAUAGAUUAGAAAAUUAUCUAUUGAUGCUUACCUAAUGAGUUUAGGAAGUUUGUGUGGUUAUAUAUAUGGAGAUGCAUGCGUGUUGCAGAACAUAUGAGUUUGAGAGAAUAUUGUGUGCUUGAAUUUUGAGAGAUUAAUAUAAAGUGAGUACUUAUAAUUCUUUAGUUCAUAUUCUAGAGCCGGGACAAUAAUUGACCCCAACAAAGGGUAAUGAUGAUAGUUAAUGUUGUGUACGAGGCUUGUGUUGGCUCUAGGCCUCCAGUCAAUGAAAAAUAUGUUCUUUCGUUUCUCCGGUUCGUUAUCGUCGGGGACGUAUCCACGGUGGAACGAGACGAUGUCUCCGCUCUCGAGUUUCAUUUCUUUGACGAAACGACACCAUCCUUUAGUCAUCACGUAGCUCUGGCUACUGUUCCAAUACGAGUAGCAGAACCUUCACAUCUUUCCGGUUCUGUCUUCAAAGUCCAAUACCGUACCGGUUUGAUUGUCCUCUAAAGGGAAGUAGUUCUCUGCAUGUUGCUUUGGUAUCACGAGCCGGUUUAGUUUCCCGAAGUCGCUUUGUGUUAGCACUUUGUCGAACAUGUGCUCUCCUACCGCCGAGUUGAAGUUGUUGUUGCCGGAGCCACUAGCUCCGGUUUCGGUCGGUUCUUGCCUUCUUGGAUAGGGGUCGUCCUCGUUGUCGACAUAUUCAUCAAGACUAUUAUAUAAACUUUGUUCCAAUUCAAGAUCUUUUAAAAGGUAUUCAACUCUUUUUAGUGGAUGUAAUGAGUGGUUCUUGAGAAUGUGAGAUAAUAUUUAGCAGAUACAAAAAUACAAAAUAAAACCCACAACCGCAAAUAGUAAUCGGUAACUGGUAAUUAAAAUCAGGAGUUAUGAGCAAGUGAGGCACAAAUAAAACGCUAGAAUCCAGAAGAAGAAGACAGACGUACUCUUUAGUAUUUAGAAUUUAUCCAAAUAUUCUCUCUGCAUCAAGUUCCCAUUGAUAUUUUGUUAAAUAUUUUUCUUAAUUUUCAUAAAUGUGUAAAAUAAAUACGAAAUUCGAAAAACAACUAAUGGGUCAUAGUUAACCGUUGUGAUCAAGCCAGUCUGGUCCGACGUUUAGGAUACAUGUUGGGAUCUAAUCUAGGCUCGACACAAGCCAAGAGAGGUUUAGCCAUGAAUAAGUUUUCUUUCGAUUCGACUAGCUCGACUUUGGCCGUCUUUGGAGGAAGCGUCCAGUCGAAUCCUUGAAGAAGCCUUCCCAGCAAUGUAACAAUCAUAUAGGUCCCAAGCUUAGUCCCAACGCAGCCACGCCUACCGGUUCCAAAUGAAACGAGUCGCAUGUCUGGCUCAGUCAACAUCACUUCAUCACCGGUUAGGUGACGCUCAGGCUUGUAGAUGAGUGGCUCGUCCCAUGUUUUAGGGUUUCGACCAAUACCAGGACGACUCACUAGAAUAUGACUGCCUGUCACAUUAAAAUUCAAAAAUAUUAUAUAGAACUGAGUAAAGAAAAACUUAAAAGUGAUAACAAUAUCCAUGUCAUAAUGCAAAUACUCUAGAUAUAUCAAGAACAACAAUAAGUGAAAUUUUGCUUAAUCGCUUUGAAGUUGAAGGGAAAAAGGGGAACUUAAAAGUUAUUUAUAAGGUGAAUGUGUUCUAUAAUAAAAAAGUUAUUUAAUAAAUUAUCAUGGUGUUUUAGAAAAAUAAUAAUAAUAAUAAUAAUAACAAUAAUAAUAAUAAUAAUAAGGAGAUAUAACAAAAUUGUUCUUUUCAACAUGUUGGAACAGAAGUUAUUUUUAAAGGGCAAAUUACUGGAAAAACAAAAAAAGUUAAAAGAUAGAGAAAAUUAGUUUGAGAAAACAUGGGGUUUUUAAUGGAUACCUCCAGUUUUCCUAUUUAUUUAUAUAAAAAUAAAAAGGAUAUGAAAAAUAAAGAAAUUGUUAUUAGAAAUUAUCAUGGUAUUUUAAGCAAAAAAGUAACAAUUAUAAUUAGGAGAUAUAACAAAAUUAUUCUUUAUAUAUGUUGGAACAAAAAGGUUAUUUAAUUUAAAGGCAAUUUACUGAAGAAAAGCAGAAAGAUAGAUACAAUUAGGGUUGCGAAAACAUGUUUUAAUGGAUAUGUACAUCCAAUUUUCCUAAUUAAUUUUAGAAAAAUAAAAGAGAUAUAUACAUAUAUACCUUUUGGGACGAAAUAUCCAGCGAGAGUUGUGUCUUGACGAGCCAUGUGAGGGACGAGGAAAGGGUUGGUAGGGUGAAGUCUAAGAGUUUCUCUG